This 675-nucleotide ribosomal RNA is filed under the name uncultured eukaryote. RNAcentral describes it as "SSU rRNA". It matches the Rfam family "Eukaryotic small subunit ribosomal RNA", at positions 591 to 1286 of the family's 1831-position model. The record is from RNAcentral.
CUCAUAGCGUAUAUUUAAGUUGCUGCAGUUAAAAAGCUCGUAGUCGGAUUUUGGCUGAGAACGGUCGGUCCGCCGUUAGGUGUGCACUGACUGGUCUCAGCUUCCUGGUGAGGAGGUGUGCUUCAUCGCCACUUAGUCACCGUGGUUACUUUGAAAAAAUUAGAGUGUUCAAAGCGGGCUUACGCUUGAAUAUAUUAGCAUGGAAUAACACCAUAGGACUCCUGUCCUAUUUCGUUGGUCUCGGGACGGGAGUAAUGAUUAAGAGGAACAGUUGGGGGCAUUCGUAUUUCAUUGUCAGAGGUGAAAUUCUUGGAUUUAUGAAAGACGAACUUCUGCGAAAGCAUUUGCCAAGGAUGUUUUCAUUGAUCAAGAACGAAAGUUGGGGGCUCGAAGAUGAUUAGAUACCAUCCUAGUCUCAACCAUAAACGAUGCCGACUAGGGAUUGGCGGAUGUUAAUUGAUGACUUCGCCAGCACCUUAUGAGAAAUCAAAGUUUUUGGGUUCCGGGGGGAGUAUGGUCGCAAGGCUGAAACUUAAAGGAAUUGACGGAAGGGCACCACCAGGCGUGGAGCCUGCGGCUUAAUUUGACUCAACACGGGGAAACUUACCAGGUCCAGACAUAGUAAGGAUUGACAGAUUGAGAGCUCUUUCUUGAUUCUAUGGGUGGUGGUGCAUG